AUACGUAGGAGCUAGACUGAACUUCUCGUCAGACCCAUUAGUAAAAAACUAAAAUUUUCCCCCUUUUGUAAUUAUCUUUUAAUAAACUGAAAAAACUGCAAACAUUUUAUGAUAAACACUUUUACCUAACUAAUUAUAAGGUUCUCAUUGAGUAUAACAGAUGUAAUGAAUGAUAAUACCUUCCCCUCACUAACCGACUACCG
RNAcentral lists this long non-coding RNA (203 nucleotides) under Lathyrus oleraceus (garden pea). Its description in RNAcentral is "Pisum sativum (pea) long non-coding RNA (PSAT_LNC026766)". Lineage: Eukaryota; Viridiplantae; Streptophyta; Magnoliopsida; Fabales; Fabaceae. The record is from RNAcentral.